RNAcentral lists this ribosomal RNA (253 nucleotides) under uncultured bacterium. RNAcentral's name for it is "partial 16S ribosomal RNA". It matches the Rfam family "Bacterial small subunit ribosomal RNA", at positions 524 to 776 of the family's 1533-position model. The record is from RNAcentral.
UACGUAGGGUGCAAGCGUUAAUCGGAAUUACUGGGCGUAAAGCGUGCGCAGGCGGUUAUUUAAGACAGUUGUGAAAUCCCCGGGCUCAACCUGGGAACUGCAUCUGUGACUGCAUAGCUAGAGUACGGUAGAGGGGGAUGGAAUUCCGCGUGUAGCAGUGAAAUGCGUAGAUAUGCGGAGGAACACCGAUGGCGAAGGCAAUCCCCUAGACCUGUACUGACGCUCAUGCACGAAAGCGUGGGGAGCAAACAGG